This 302-nucleotide unclassified non-coding RNA is filed under the name uncultured fungus. RNAcentral's name for it is "partial contains small subunit ribosomal RNA, internal transcribed spacer 1, and 5.8S ribosomal RNA". The stretch from base 1 to 73 matches the Rfam family "Eukaryotic small subunit ribosomal RNA", at positions 1759 to 1831 of the family's 1831-position model. Lineage: Eukaryota; Fungi. The record is from RNAcentral.
GCAAACUUGGUCAUUUAGAGGAAGUAAAAGUCGUAACAAGGUUUCCGUAGGUGAACCUGCGGAAGGAUCAUUAAAAUUUUUUUUUUGAACCUUUUUUUAUGGAUCAAAAAAAAAUCCAUAAAUCCACCUUGUGUGCAACUAUUGAAAAAAAAAAGUAGCCUUUUUGGAGAUAAGAGGAUCUCUUAUCUCCAGAGGGUAUGUUUAAUCUACAAUUUUUUUGAUGACUUAAUUUUUAAUAUAAAAAAUAAAAAUCAACUUUCAACAACGGAUCUCUUGGCUCUCGCAUCGAUGAAGAACGCAGC